This 1550-nucleotide ribosomal RNA is filed under the name Leclercia sp. 29361. RNAcentral's name for it is "16S ribosomal RNA". It matches the Rfam family "Bacterial small subunit ribosomal RNA". Lineage: Bacteria; Pseudomonadati; Pseudomonadota; Gammaproteobacteria; Enterobacterales; Enterobacteriaceae. The record is from RNAcentral.
AAAUUGAAGAGUUUGAUCAUGGCUCAGAUUGAACGCUGGCGGCAGGCCUAACACAUGCAAGUCGAACGGUAGCACAGAGAGCUUGCUCUCGGGUGACGAGUGGCGGACGGGUGAGUAAUGUCUGGGAAACUGCCUGAUGGAGGGGGAUAACUACUGGAAACGGUAGCUAAUACCGCAUAACGUCGCAAGACCAAAGAGGGGGACCUUCGGGCCUCUUGCCAUCAGAUGUGCCCAGAUGGGAUUAGCUAGUAGGUGGGGUAAUGGCUCACCUAGGCGACGAUCCCUAGCUGGUCUGAGAGGAUGACCAGCCACACUGGAACUGAGACACGGUCCAGACUCCUACGGGAGGCAGCAGUGGGGAAUAUUGCACAAUGGGCGCAAGCCUGAUGCAGCCAUGCCGCGUGUAUGAAGAAGGCCUUCGGGUUGUAAAGUACUUUCAGCGAGGAGGAAGGUGUUGAGGUUAAUAACCUCAGCAAUUGACGUUACUCGCAGAAGAAGCACCGGCUAACUCCGUGCCAGCAGCCGCGGUAAUACGGAGGGUGCAAGCGUUAAUCGGAAUUACUGGGCGUAAAGCGCACGCAGGCGGUCUGUCAAGUCGGAUGUGAAAUCCCCGGGCUCAACCUGGGAACUGCAUUCGAAACUGGCAGGCUAGAGUCUUGUAGAGGGGGGUAGAAUUCCAGGUGUAGCGGUGAAAUGCGUAGAGAUCUGGAGGAAUACCGGUGGCGAAGGCGGCCCCCUGGACAAAGACUGACGCUCAGGUGCGAAAGCGUGGGGAGCAAACAGGAUUAGAUACCCUGGUAGUCCACGCCGUAAACGAUGUCGACUUGGAGGUUGUUCCCUUGAGGAGUGGCUUCCGGAGCUAACGCGUUAAGUCGACCGCCUGGGGAGUACGGCCGCAAGGUUAAAACUCAAAUGAAUUGACGGGGGCCCGCACAAGCGGUGGAGCAUGUGGUUUAAUUCGAUGCAACGCGAAGAACCUUACCUACUCUUGACAUCCAGAGAACUUAGCAGAGAUGCUUUGGUGCCUUCGGGAACUCUGAGACAGGUGCUGCAUGGCUGUCGUCAGCUCGUGUUGUGAAAUGUUGGGUUAAGUCCCGCAACGAGCGCAACCCUUAUCCUUUGUUGCCAGCGGUCCGGCCGGGAACUCAAAGGAGACUGCCAGUGAUAAACUGGAGGAAGGUGGGGAUGACGUCAAGUCAUCAUGGCCCUUACGAGUAGGGCUACACACGUGCUACAAUGGCGCAUACAAAGAGAAGCGACCUCGCGAGAGCAAGCGGACCUCAUAAAGUGCGUCGUAGUCCGGAUUGGAGUCUGCAACUCGACUCCAUGAAGUCGGAAUCGCUAGUAAUCGUAGAUCAGAAUGCUACGGUGAAUACGUUCCCGGGCCUUGUACACACCGCCCGUCACACCAUGGGAGUGGGUUGCAAAAGAAGUAGGUAGCUUAACCUUCGGGAGGGCGCUUACCACUUUGUGAUUCAUGACUGGGGUGAAGUCGUAACAAGGUAACCGUAGGGGAACCUGCGGUUGGAUCACCUCCUUACCUUAAAGAA